GUGCGGGCCACCUUGUUUGUUCUAUUCUGAUGUUUGUUUUUUUUUUUUUUUUUUUUUUUUUACUUUUCUGUUCGACAAUUGCCGAUCAGGCACACGCGAAAAGAAUGUUCGUCCGGCGUACCCGCGUAUACAUCGUAUAUACCUAUAUUUGGGUUGAGGUCGAACGCGUUCAAGCCGAAAAAGCACACACGCACAUUGCGAAUUCCGACGUGUUCUUGUACGGGCCGAAUAUAUUAUGAUUUAUUGUUCAAGGAGAGGCGCACAAAAGUUCAAAACCUUUCAAACGCCGUCGUACCAGUGAUGUGCGCACGAUGCUUUUCGUUAACUUUGAUGUACCUAUAAUACGACGGACAAAAUUAUUACUUUCGAAAAAUAACGCAAAAAUU
Molecule: non-coding RNA, 386 nt
Organism: Cinara cedri
Lineage: Eukaryota; Metazoa; Arthropoda; Insecta; Hemiptera; Aphididae
Source: the annotation of a GenBank genome assembly